CUUGUACACACCGCCCGUCACACCAUGGGAGCGGGUUCUGCCAGAAGUAGUUAGCCUAACCGCAAGGAGGGCGAUUACCACGGCAGGGUUCGUGACGUGGGGUG
This 104-nucleotide ribosomal RNA is filed under the name uncultured bacterium. Its description in RNAcentral is "partial 16S ribosomal RNA". It matches the Rfam family "Bacterial small subunit ribosomal RNA", at positions 1380 to 1482 of the family's 1533-position model. The record is from RNAcentral.